AUAACAAUAAUAUUAAAGUUUUUACUUUCUCCCGAAUUAUUAAGAUCUAAUUAUUUUUAGUUUAUUGGGCUUCUAUUAAUUAUAUUGUUUCAUAAAUAUAUAAUAAAAUUAUAAUUAGGGAUGAAAAAUCUUCAAUUAUUAGGAUAUCUGGAUUUAAGUUAAAUAUAUAUAGUAUAACUAAUACAUAUUUAAGGCUAUAAGGUCUUAAAAUAGAAAAAUAACUUAUAUUUUUACUCCCCCUAAAUUUAAAUAGUUCAUAGGAAAUAUAGAGCUCAAUUAUAUUGAACUUUAAUUACUUAUUAUUGUUAUAUUUUCUUUAUUUUUUAAAAGUAGCUUAACUUUAGAAAAAAUUUAAUCUGUUUAUUGAUUAUGUUUUUAUUAGUAUAUAUUAUAAAGUUUAUAAAAAGAACUCGGCAAAUUUUACUUAAUAGUUAAAUUUCCGGACUGUUUACCAAAAACAUAGCUUAAAGAAAAUAGAUUUUAAGUGAUCCCUGCCCAGUGAAAAUUAAUUUAACGGCCGCAGUACAUUGACUGUGCUAAGGUAGCAUAAUAAUUUGGCUUUUAAUUAAAGUCUAGAAUGAACGGGUUUACUAGGAAUACGCUGUUUCUUAAAAAUUUUAUUUAAAUUACUUAUUGAGUGAAAAUUCUCAAAUUACUUGAUAAGAAAGACGAGAAGACCCUUAGAAUUUUUCUUUUCUUAAAUAAUUAAAUAUUUACUGAUAGUUUGGUUGGGGCAACCAUUAAACAAAAUAAUUUUUAUAUAUUAUAAAAUUUAACCUAUAUAAUUCUAUUAAAAUUGAAUAAAUUACCUAAGGGAUAACAGCAUAAUUAAUUUAUUAGAUUGUGACCUCGAUGUUGGACUAGGUAAAAUUAAUAGUAAACCAUUAUUAAUACUGUUCUGUUCGAACAAUUACACCUACAUGAUCUGAGUCAGACCGCUAC
The sequence is a ribosomal RNA, 942 nucleotides long. The stretch from base 392 to 651 matches the Rfam family "Archaeal large subunit ribosomal RNA", at positions 1787 to 2143 of the family's 2987-position model.